RNAcentral lists this transfer RNA (67 nucleotides) under Dacus axanus. RNAcentral describes it as "tRNA-Ser". Lineage: Eukaryota; Metazoa; Arthropoda; Insecta; Diptera; Tephritidae. The record is from RNAcentral.
AGUCAAUGAGCUUGAAUAAGCAUUUGUUUUGAAAACAAAAGAUAGAAAUAAAGGUUUCUAUUGACUU